This 419-nucleotide ribosomal RNA is filed under the name uncultured bacterium. RNAcentral's name for it is "bacterial SSU rRNA". It matches the Rfam family "Bacterial small subunit ribosomal RNA", at positions 106 to 559 of the family's 1533-position model. The record is from RNAcentral.
GCGAGUAACACGUAAGAACCUGCCCUGCACUCAGGGAUAACCUCAUGAAAGUGAGGCUAAUACCGGAUGGUCUCGAAAGAGUAAAGAUUUAUCGGUGCGGGAGGGGCUUGCGGGCUAUCAGUUUGUUGGUGAGGUAAAGGCUCACCAAGACGAUGACGGCUACCGGGUGUGAGAGCAUGACCCGGCGCGAUGGGACUGAGACACGGCCCAUACUCCUACGGGAGGCAGCAGUAAAGAAUCUUCCACAAUGGCGAAAGCCUGAUGGAGCGACACCGCGUGAUGGAUGAAGGCCUUCGGGUUGUAAACAUCUUUUCUCUGGGAAGAAGAUCUGACGGUACCAGAGGAAUAAGGACCGGCUAAUUACGUGCCAGCAGCCGCGGUAAUACGUAAGGUCCGAGCGUUAUCCGGAAUUAUUGGGC